GUUUCUAAAUGCCUCAGGAACAAUACUGCGUCGUCAAAGUGCCGAAAAGUGGCGCCAUUUCUCCGGCGAACAGGCUGAACUACACGCUUUUGAACCUGCGGUUUAACUAGUUCCCAACUUCUAUCGCUAGAUGGCGGGACACUAGCCAGAAACCUAGCCUAAAAAUGGUUAAUAAUUGUUAAUAGUUUGGUUAUGUGAAAACAAUUCGAAGUUAAUUGGUCGUGCACUCCGACGCGAUUCGAUGCAUAUUACAGUCAAUUAAGGUAAUAAAAUCAACUAUAUUAAUCGAAAUGAACCUAAAAGGUAUCCGUGAUUAGCAGACAAUAACUCGUCGUCUGAUACGUUAGUUCUUGGAGACUGUCGAGUUGCGUGGGAAUAUUUGUUGGAUUACGUACGAGUGGGAAAAGUCCUUGACGUAGGGAAUUUUCUUGGCAAAAUUGCUAACUAGUGACAACACUGGCCGUGAACGUCACGGUGCACGGAGGUUGAUUAUCGUUGACGGAAUUUAGACGAGCCUGGACGAUGUGCUUUGACGAAAUUGAAUUUUCGAGCGUGUGCGAUGUCGUGAAUCGGUAAGUGGCCAAGCGAAGCACGAAAAGGUUCGUUUCCAUUUGAAGAAGGUAAUCGCGUACAGCGUAUCGUCGACAUCGCCGCCGCUGCUGCGAUGCUGUCAGAAGUCGACGUUUUCAUCAGUAAUUACACUCUCGUUGAUCCCGAGAUAUAUCAACUGUGGGUCGAUGGCCAUUCGUCGAGCGAAGCGGUCAACAUCCUGCAUCAACGAGGAAUAUGUCAUCAAACGAGUGCAUCGAUCGAAUUGGUGGCUUCCGAUAUUCUGGAUCAUUAUCGGACAUACGCGCUUCUGGAGAAGCUGCUUCAUACCCCUACCAAAUUGGCUAGCGAACAACUCGCCUUUCAAAUAGAACCUCAAACUAGUCAAAUGCUGAUCGAGAUGUACUACGAAUUCGACGAUGUCGUGAUCAGAGAAUUACUAGGUAAAAAAUUAACGUCCAAGAGUAGAAAGGACAUGGACGAAGUGUCGGAGAAAACGGGCAUCACGCUAAAAAGUUGUCGCAGACAAUACGACAACGUGAAGAGAGUGUUUAAGGUCGUGGAAGAUUUGUCAGGAUCGUUGGCUGCCAACAUAGAGCAACACUUUUUACUUUCCGAAGACCUUGCCAAGCGAUACGCGGCCGUCGUGUUCGUUGCCUGCCUCCGAUUCGAGAUGAACAAAAGGAAACUGCAGUUUUUAACCUUUCCCGAUAUCUAUCAUUGUGCCAACAGCAUGAUGUCGUCGUGGACGUAUCGUUGUAUCGGAUCGGAAUAUUUUGAUACCGAUUUGGACAGAGAAUUUUUACUGGAAUUAGCCCAAUGUAGAAUAUUAUUGGAGAACGACAAACACCAUAAACAUUUGGUGUGCAUCAAGCUUAAACCGAUGCUUCUCGAGCGUUCGUAUCAAGAAAUAGAUUCGAACUUUCGUUCGUACACGAGAGCUAUACUAGGAAUCGGAUGUAACCUUCAUCGAUCGAGAGACUUACGGUUCUUCUUUCUGGAGCUGGUCGAGAGAUGCAUCGAGCCGUGGCGUCAAGUGAACUGGACCCAUACCGAUCUUCGAAAUUUCCUCGCGGCUUAUACUCAAUGCGCUCUAGACAUGGAUGUAUUUAGGGAUACCGAAGUAAGAGACGCCUUUGAACGUUACAUGGUCGUUGUAACGUGUUGCUUAUUGCGCAUGUACCAUACGUGACUAUCGAUGCAAGAAGACGAUGGUACACAGAAAACGAGCACGGUCAACGUCGAUAAUAAUUGAAACGAUCGUGUAAUAGGCUGAAACAGAGAGUGGACGGAUUCAACUCCCGACGAUCGCGAUCAACCAACGUACUCGUCCGACUCUGUUCGUCAACUGACCAACCGUGAAAACGAUAGCGCCGACGCCGACGCCGACGCCGCACAACACCAACCCCGGCCGUCGAC
Molecule: unclassified non-coding RNA, 1968 nt
Filed under: Megachile rotundata (alfalfa leafcutting bee)
Lineage: Eukaryota; Metazoa; Arthropoda; Insecta; Hymenoptera; Megachilidae
Description: acidic fibroblast growth factor intracellular- binding protein, transcript variant X2
Source: RNAcentral